This 72-nucleotide transfer RNA is filed under the name Retropinna semoni (Australian smelt). RNAcentral describes it as "tRNA-Thr". It matches the Rfam family "tRNA". Rfam says of the family: Transfer RNA (tRNA) molecules are approximately 80 nucleotides in length. The record is from RNAcentral. Lineage: Eukaryota; Metazoa; Chordata; Actinopteri; Osmeriformes; Retropinnidae.
GCACCAGUAGCUUAAAUUAGAGCGCCGGCCUUGUAAGCCGGAGGUUGGAGGUUAGACUCCUCCCUUGUGCUC